RNAcentral lists this ribosomal RNA (210 nucleotides) under uncultured bacterium. RNAcentral's name for it is "partial 16S ribosomal RNA". It matches the Rfam family "Bacterial small subunit ribosomal RNA", at positions 1292 to 1500 of the family's 1533-position model. The record is from RNAcentral.
UUCGGAUUGCAGGCUGCAACUCGCCUGUAUGAAGUCGGAAUUGCUAGUAAUCGUGGAUCAGCAUGCCACGGUGAAUACGUUCCCGGGCCUUGUACACACCGCCCGUCACACCAUGAGAGCCGGGAACACCCGAAGUCCGUAGUCUAACCUAUAUGGAGGACGCGGCCGAAGGUGGGUUUGGUAAUUGGGGUGAAGUCGUAACAAGGUAGC